UGCCUAAUACAUGCAAGUCGAGCGAACAGACGAGGAGCUUGCUCCUCUGGCGUUAGCGGCGGACGGGUGAGUAACACGUGGAUAACCUACCUAUAAGACUGGGAUAACUUCGGGAAACCGGAGCUAAUACCGGAUAACAUGUUGAACCGCAUGGUUCAACAGUGAAAGACGGUCUUGCUGUCACUUAUAGAUGGAUCCGCGCCGCAUUAGCUAGUUGGUAAGGUAACGGCUUACCAAGGCAACGAUGCGUAGCCGACCUGAGAGGGUGAUCGGCCACACUGGAACUGAGACACGGUCCAGACUCCUACGGGAGGCAGCAGUAGGGAAUCUUCCGCAAUGGGCGAAAGCCUGACGGAGCAACGCCGCGUGAGUGAAGAAGGUCUUCGGAUCGUAAAACUCUGUUAUUAGGGAAGAACAAAUGUGUAAGUAACUAUGCACGUCUUGACGGUACCUAAUCAGAAAGCCACGGCUAACUACGUGCCAGCAGCCGCGGUAAUACGUAGGUGGCAAGCGUUAUCCGGAAUUAUUGGGCGUAAAGCGCGCGUAGGCGGUUUUUUAAGUCUGAUGUGAAAGCCCACGGCUCAACCGUGGAGGGUCAUUGGAAACUGGAAAACUUGAGUGCAGAAGAGGAAAGUGGAAUUCCAUGUGUAGCGGUGAAAUGCGCAGAGAUAUGGAGGAACACCAGUGGCGAAGGCGACUUUCUGGUCUGUAACUGACGCUGAUGUGCGAAAGCGUGGGGAUCAAACAGGAUUAGAUACCCUGGUAGUCCACGCCGUAAACGAUGAGUGCUAAGUGUUAGGGGGUUUCCGCCCCUUAGUGCUGCAGCUAACGCAUUAAGCACUCCGCCUGGGGAGUACGACCGCAAGGUUGAAACUCAAAGGAAUUGACGGGGACCCGCACAAGCGGUGGAGCAUGUGGUUUAAUUCGAAGCAACGCGAAGAACCUUACCAAAUCUUGACAUCCUCUGACCCCUCUAGAGAUAGAGUUUUCCCCUUCGGGGGACAGAGUGACAGGUGGUGCAUGGUUGUCGUCAGCUCGUGUCGUGAGAUGUUGGGUUAAGUCCCGCAACGAGCGCAACCCUUAAGCUUAGUUGCCAUCAUUAAGUUGGGCACUCUAAGUUGACUGCCGGUGACAAACCGGAGGAAGGUGGGGAUGACGUCAAAUCAUCAUGCCCCUUAUGAUUUGGGCUACACACGUGCUACAAUGGACAAUACAAAGGGCAGCGAAACCGCGAGGUCAAGCAAAUCCCAUAAAGUUGUUCUCAGUUCGGAUUGUAGUCUGCAACUCGACUACAUGAAGCUGGAAUCGCUAGUAAUCGUAGAUCAGCAUGCUACGGUGAAUACGUUCCCGGGUCUUGUACACACCGCCCGUCACACCACGAGAGUUUGUAACACCCGAAGCCGGUGGAGUAACCUUUUGGAGCUAGCCGUCGAAGGUGGGACAAAUGAUUGGGGUGAAAUCA
RNAcentral lists this ribosomal RNA (1462 nucleotides) under uncultured organism. RNAcentral's name for it is "SSU rRNA". It matches the Rfam family "Bacterial small subunit ribosomal RNA". The record is from RNAcentral.